RNAcentral lists this ribosomal RNA (253 nucleotides) under uncultured bacterium. Its description in RNAcentral is "partial 16S ribosomal RNA". It matches the Rfam family "Bacterial small subunit ribosomal RNA", at positions 524 to 776 of the family's 1533-position model. The record is from RNAcentral.
UACGUAGGGUGCAAGCGUUGUCCGGAAUUAUUGGGCGUAAAGAGCUCGUAGGCGGUUUGUCGCGUCGGCUGUGAAAACCCGAGGCUCAACCUCGGGCCUGCAUUCGAUACGGGCUGGCUAGAGUACUGCAGGGGAGACUGGAAUUCCUGGUGUAGCGGUGAAAUGCGCAGAUAUCGGGAGGAACACCAGUGGCGAAGGCGGCGAUCUGGGAAGAUACUGACGCUGAGGUGCGAAAGCGUGGGGAGCAAACAGG